UUGGCCCCUCCCUCCGGGUGUUCAGUUCAGUUCAAUUAGAGAGACCAACUGCCGUUCUCGCCUCACGAUGUUGUUUUAGUUUCUCUCAGACAGUGUGUUAUGGUGUUACAGUUUUAUUAUUAAAGAAAGCUUUGUUUGACAUAUACGUGAGCCGCUUAUGUUGCUGAAAGAAAAGAAACUCUGCUGAAGAAGGGUGGAAUAUCCUCAAGUUGGCAAAGAAAAAUUAAAUAAGAAGAGUGAAUAACUUGCCUGUCAAACUUUUAAGGUGUUGGCCUUGGGGUUAUUCCAGAAGGAGCCGGAGGCAAGCCUCCAGGAGAUGCUGCGAAAGUAGGGCAGCUGCAAAAAAUCAUGGACAAAUGAGGAACACAGGAAGUAACAGAAACAAAACCCAAGCCACACAACUUCUUAAGAUACUGAAUCUUUAUGAUGAUACAUUAUGCCAUUUACCACAUUUCUCUCAGCGCUGCUGUUGUGGAAAAGCAAGUAUUUUGCUUUAAUAUCCACCAGACAUCAAUUCUGAAGGUUGCGAAGUAAAACAAGGAUUGCUGGAAUUAAGUAGACCAUAGUUUUGUUUUAUGGGUGCCUGAAACUGGGGCUGGGGAGAGAGAGAGAAGAGGAGGAGAGCAUGUUCUAAAAACUAUUUUUGUCACUCUUUAAAGCUAGCAAGGCUCAGAACUUACAUGUGCAUAAGCUCAGUCAAGCGACAAAUAUGAAGCUAAUGUAGUCCAAAGGUCAACUUUCACUUUAUAUAUUAGAUUAUAGCAAGCCAUGUUGUUGCCAGAGUGUUUAAUCCUAAGUGUGGUGUACUGGAUUUUACUUUUAAAGACACAGAUACAGUGGUACCUCCGGUUGCGAACAGGAUCCAUUCCAGAAGUCCGGCCGCAUCCCAAGGAAUUCACAACCGGAGCACCGCUUCUGCACAUGCACGCACGGUGAAACACGGAAAAAUACUUCCGGGUUUGCCAUGUUCGUAUCCCGAAAGGUACGCAGCUAGAGGAGUGCGUAUCUAGAGGUACCACUAUAUAGAGUUUCAUGAAUUUAUAUGCUGCUUUUCUACUUUCCCAGUUUUCAAAGUGACUCACAACAUAAGAUAGUAAAAUGGAACAAUAAAACGUUUAUAAGAAGGUUGUAAAAAUAAUUUAUUCCUGAAACAGAAAACUGAGGUAG
Long non-coding RNA from Podarcis raffonei (Aeolian wall lizard), 1167 nucleotides. RefSeq lists it as uncharacterized. The transcript has 3 exons. The record is from RefSeq and is a predicted model, not a curated record. NCBI's taxonomy places the organism in Eukaryota, Metazoa, Chordata, Lepidosauria, Squamata, Lacertidae.